RNAcentral lists this ribosomal RNA (898 nucleotides) under uncultured bacterium. RNAcentral describes it as "bacterial SSU rRNA". It matches the Rfam family "Bacterial small subunit ribosomal RNA", at positions 8 to 896 of the family's 1533-position model. The record is from RNAcentral.
AGAGUUUGAUCCUGGCUCAGGAUGAACGCUAGCUACAGGCUUAACACAUGCAAGUCGAGGGGAAACGAUAGAGAAAGCUUGCUUUUUCUAGGCGUCGACCGGCGCACGGGUGAGUAACGCGUAUCCAACCUGCCCAUCACUUGGGGAUAACCUUGCGAAAGUAAGACUAAUACCCAAUGACGUCUCUAGAAGACAUCUGAAGGAGAUUAAAGAUUUAUCGGUGAUGGAUGGGGAUGCGUCUGAUUAGCUUGUUGGCGGGGUAACGGCCCACCAAGGCGACGAUCAGUAGGGGUUCUGAGAGGAAGGUCCCCCACAUUGGAACUGAGACACGGUCCAAACUCCUACGGGAGGCAGCAGUGAGGAAUAUUGGUCAAUGGGCGAGAGCCUGAACCAGCCAAGUAGCGUGCAGGAAGACGGCCCUAUGGGUUGUAAACUGCUUUUAUAAGGGAAUAAAGUGAGUCUCGUGAGACUUUUUGCAUGUACCUUAUGAAUAAGGACCGGCUAAUUCCGUGCCAGCAGCCGCGGUAAUACGGAAGGUCCGGGCGUUAUCCGGAUUUAUUGGGUUUAAAGGGAGCGUAGGCCGGAGAUUAAGCGUGUUGUGAAAUGUAGACGCUCAACGUCUGCACUGCAGCGCGAACUGGUUUCCUUGAGUACGCACAAAGUGGGCGGAAUUCGUGGUGUAGCGGUGAAAUGCUUAGAUAUCACGAAGAACUCCGAUUGCGAAGGCAGCUCACUGGAGCGCAACUGACGCUGAAGCUCGAAAGUGCGGGUAUCGAACAGGAUUAGAUACCCUGGUAGUCCGCACGGUAAACGAUGGAUGCCCGCUGUUGGUCUGAAUAGGUCAGCGGCCAAGCGAAAGCAUUAAGCAUCCCACCUGGGGAGUACGCCGGCAACGGUG